AUCUAUAGCCAUACCACCCUGAACUUGCCUGACCUCUUCUGAUCUGAAGCUAAGCAGAUCAGACUGAUAGUACUGAUGUAGAGA
This 84-nucleotide ribosomal RNA is filed under the name Tursiops truncatus (common bottlenose dolphin). Lineage: Eukaryota; Metazoa; Chordata; Mammalia; Artiodactyla; Delphinidae. The record is from RNAcentral.